Sparus aurata (gilthead seabream) is the source of this 1805-nucleotide long non-coding RNA. The record is from Ensembl. NCBI's taxonomy places the organism in Eukaryota, Metazoa, Chordata, Actinopteri, Spariformes, Sparidae.
AUCAUCGUAGCGUUGCUGUCAUGCUGCGAGCUCAGAAUAACAGCUUGUUUUUAGCUUUGUGAUGAUGCAUUUCACAGCUAAUCCAAGAGGCGUUUUAGUAGACUUUUUGCAAACACAUGAAGGAACACUAAAUCUUUCAGUAUAUCACAAACAUUGAAAUAAUCUAAAUCAAUGUAUCUGGAGAUAAAUGGUUUUCACUGGACAGGAAAAAUUGUAUGUGAAAUUUGCCCCAUAACAGUUUUGCAUAAUUUUGCACCCAUAUUGAAUAUUUUCACAUACACCGUAAACUAAAACUAUGUGUGUGAAGUCACAUACAAACAAGAAUUUCACAAGUGAAUUUUGACUUUUCAAAUUGGAAAUUGCAAACAUUCAUAUGCUCAUAAAGUCCUUUGUUUGUUUGCUUUUUUUUUUUUACAUGUGAAUUUAAACCACCUGUAGAUUGUAUAUAGAUUGUAGACAGUAUUUUUAUUUUCUGUGAUGCUGUGGUAAAGUAUGAAGCUGCAUUAAAUCAAAUGUGUAAGUACCUCAUAUUAGUGACAUUCCACCACUGCAUAGAUGUUACUAAUAACAUUUACUAAGGUCUGUUCUAACCAUGUGCUCCAGUUAGCCAUUAGAGUUUGAAAGUGAGUAAGCCUCAUUAUUUUCAUCAAUUAUACCUGAGCUUUUCUCCUGUCACAAGUCAAAAUGUCCUCUGAGUUAAAGGUCCCAUAUUAUGCUCAUUUCUGCUUCUUAACAUGGUUCCUUGAAGUCUAAAUGGAAUGUUAGUAACAUGCUUUGGUCGAAAUAAGCUGAAGGAUUGAGCACAGCAGGGUUCUUGAAACACCAGUUUCACAGCCCUGCUCCAGGUGGCCUGUUUCAGUGCCUUUCCCUUUAAAUGCUAAUGAGCUACUGCGCGCCGCCUACGGUGCCGCCCACUUCUUCCUGCCUGCGGAAGACGUGAGGACGGCAUCAUGUGACCAUGGCAACGGCGGAGUUUCUGGAAGUAAUGGCCGCCGGACAACAAGAGGCUCCAGAAGAAAGUUACACGAAGACUACAGCAGCUUCCUGAGCCACCAUCGUGCAUGGUGGACCCUCCUGGCCUGUAACCUGUCUGCCUGAAUGUAUCUGCACUGCAGAAUGCACUGAACAUUUAUCAGACAGACUAUGGACCUUUACGUCUGAGGGGAAUAGUGCAGUAAGCUUUUAGUCACAUAAAUACUAUUAAUUUAUCGCAAAAGUGUUAUGAUGAAAAGUACAUAACUGAUUCCUCUAUCUUACAUUGCUUGUGGUUCAUCUUUUACUUAUUACCAUAAAAAUUACAUAUCAAACAAUGAAAACACAGAACAGUCAGGAAAGAUGUUUUAUUGUAAGAAACAUAUGUAAACAUGUGUUGACAUGAAUGAAAUAAUAAUAAGAAAAUAAAUAUCUGAAGUGAAACAGUUUGACUUUAUAUAUUAACUUCAAUAUCAAUAUGAAAAUAAUAACAAAAAAAAGUAUCUAGUUGCCAUGGGUGUAAACAUUCAGUGCUGACUUUAUAUUGAAUUGUGUUCAGCCAAUAUAGCCUACAGAAGCUUUGUAAGCUGGUGCUGGGGCUCUCUGGGGUGGAGAGUGAGAGUUGUGCUGCCUGUCUUUGUGGUCCAAGAGGUCUUCAGAGAUUAUUAGUUUCAGCACCUCUUUCACAUAUGGGGCAGGGUUCUGGAAAACCUUCACGAGAGCGGAUCCAACAGUGCAUCACCUCAGUCUGCAAUGCAAUAAACAAAUAUGUAUGUUUACAGGAAAAUUGCAGUAGAACCAAAAAGCCUUGUGCUGCAGUGUUGUAAAGUUUC